This is a long non-coding RNA of Erigeron canadensis, 245 nucleotides long. RefSeq lists it as uncharacterized. The record is from RefSeq and is a predicted model, not a curated record. NCBI's taxonomy places the organism in Eukaryota, Viridiplantae, Streptophyta, Magnoliopsida, Asterales, Asteraceae. The transcript is spliced from 3 exons.
UCGAAGCAGGAUGGCUUGUUCACAAACGAUAAUGAUUUACCCGAGUCUCCUUCAUAUGUCUUGAGAAGAAUAGAGAACCCCCUUUCUGAGGCCAGGCAAAAUAAGGAAAGUUCUAAUAGAGCAAAGAUAAAACUCAAUGAGGGAAGCGCUAGGCAGGAUGUCUCGCUCGCAAAUAAAUAUGAUUUACCCGAGUCUCCUUCAUUUGGCUUGAGAAGAAUAGAGGACUCAAGUUUUUUUUGCCCAAC